RNAcentral lists this unclassified non-coding RNA (371 nucleotides) under uncultured bacterium. RNAcentral describes it as "contains 16S-23S intergenic spacer region". The record is from RNAcentral.
UCCGGUUUGUCACCGGCAGUCUCAUUAGAGUGCCCUUGCGUAGCAACUAAUGAUAAGGGUUGCGCUCGUUGCGGGACUUAACCCAACAUCUCACGACACGAGCUGACGACAGCCAUGCAGCACCUGUGCACGGGCUCCGAAGAGGGGCUCCCUUUUCUGAAAGCUUUCCCGUGUAUGUCAAGCCUAGGUAAGGUUCUUCGCGUUGCGUCGAAUUAAACCACAUGCUCCACCGCUUGUGCGGGCCCCCGUCAAUUCCUUUGUGUUUUAAUCUUGCGACCGUACUCCCCAGGCGGGAUGCUUAAUGCGUUAGCUGCGCCACUGACGAGUAAACCCGCCAACGGCUAGCAUCCAUCGUUUACGGCGUGGACUAC